UUAUGAUGUGUACUCUGUUUACAUUACAGUUGUUUAUUAGUUUACUCGUUUGUUUUGCGACUGAUGAAAUGCCGACAUAUAUAUAUUUUCAACAUUUGACAUAACCCUGUAUGUUUUGCAGGGACAACCCAGGACGUGCAUUUCUCAGCACCCAGUCAACUGCCAAAAGUGACUCAACCACAGGCCACCAGUGGAACUCGGCUGUACCACUGCAGUGCUGUGGAAAUUGCCUUCACCAGCGGCUUUGCAACAGCUGUUUCGCAGCAUGUCGGAGACAAUGCCUACGAAAUUAUUGGCCCUGAUCAUGAGAGCCCUCAAGGGGCAAACAACAUCUCUGUUGCAGAAGUGAGCCCGAUACCACUUGGAAGUUACCAUGACAGAUGACACGGCAGCAAUAGAUACAGAGACUGCCAUGUCUGCUGCAGCUGCAACAGUGUACGAGGCAAGCAGCAGCGCGUCAGCAUCAGCAGCAGUGUCAGAAGGAACCACACCAGGCCUGGUAGAGCAACAUGUGUGCUAUCACUGACUUUUUUUGUAGUGGAUACAACUCAUUUGCUCAACAUACAAAAGCUUUUCACCACGACUGUGAGCCAGUGUUAUUGUGCAGCAAGUGCAAGACUAAGUUAGGUUUUAUAACACAGUACAAGCAUCACUUUAAUAUAUGCAAAUGCAAACAUAUUACAGUUGUUGCCUCCCCAGCCAGCCCACAUAGUGACAACAAUGUGGAACACAUGGUGGGACACACCUCUCCCCCAUUACAAGAUAGUAGAGACUGUCAGUGUUGCUAGAUUGACUGGUCUUUGUAGGCAACUAGAAGGACAACGCAGGUGUCAUAAGAUUGUUGUUGAUGUUGUUGUUGAAGAGGUAAAAAAAAAGUUUGAUGCAGCUGAAGUGCCAACUGAUAUUGAGCAAAUCAAAAGCAACCACCUGAGAAAGCAACACUAUCGAAAUUUGGGUAUCUAUGUGCCACCAACUCUGGUAAGAAUGGCAUAGGACAGAAGUGUGAUGAAAAUCACACAGACACUGCUGUUGCAUCACUGGCCACAGUGAGCAGCGACUUGUAGGGCAAGAGAGUCAACUGAAACUAACAUUAUGAUAUAGUGUCAUGCUCCCAUGUGACCACUUUUCAAGUUAUUUUGCAAGAUACAGCGCAACCUCCAGAAACGAGACUGCAACUUGUCUGUAAAAAAGCUUUCACAAAAACUUAUUCAUAACACUAUUAACA
Molecule: long non-coding RNA, 1225 nt
Filed under: Dermacentor andersoni
Lineage: Eukaryota; Metazoa; Arthropoda; Arachnida; Ixodida; Ixodidae
Description: uncharacterized LOC126543864
Source: RNAcentral